This 209-nucleotide ribosomal RNA is filed under the name uncultured prokaryote. RNAcentral's name for it is "partial 16S ribosomal RNA". It matches the Rfam family "Bacterial small subunit ribosomal RNA", at positions 524 to 732 of the family's 1533-position model. The record is from RNAcentral.
GACGGAGGGGGCUAGCGUUGUUCGGAAUGACUGGGCGUAAAGGGCGCGUAGGCGGUUUUUUAAGUGAGGCGUGAAAGCCCUGGGCUUAACCCAGGAGGUGCGUUUCAUACUGGAAAGCUUGAGUGCGAGAGAGGAAAGCGGAAUUCCUAGUGUAGAGGUGAAAUUCGUAGAUAUUAGGAAGAACACCAGUGGCGAAGGCGGCUUUCUGG